GUGGGGAAUCUUAGACAAUGGGGGCAACCCUGAUCUAGCCAUGCCGCGUGAGCGAUGAAGGCCUUAGGGUUGUAAAGCUCUUUCAGCUGGGAAGAUAAUGACGGUACCAGCAGAAGAAGCCCCGGCUAACUCCGUGCCAGCAGCCGCGGUAAUACGGAGGGGGCUAGCGUUGUUCGGAAUUACUGGGCGUAAAGCGCACGUAGGCGGAUCAGAAAGUCAGAGGUGAAAUCCCAGGGCUCAACCUUGGAACUGCCUUUGAAACUCCUGGUCUUGAGGUCGAGAGAGGUGAGUGGAAUUCCGAGUGUAGAGGUGAAAUUCGUAGAUAUUCGGAGGAACACCAGUGGCGAAGGCGGCUCACUGGCUCGAUACUGACGCUGAGGUGCGAAAGCGUGGGGAGCAAACAGGAUUAGAAACCCCAGUAGUCC
Molecule: ribosomal RNA, 425 nt
Filed under: uncultured bacterium
Lineage: Bacteria
Description: partial 16S ribosomal RNA
Rfam family: Bacterial small subunit ribosomal RNA
Source: RNAcentral